This 484-nucleotide ribosomal RNA is filed under the name uncultured bacterium. RNAcentral's name for it is "partial 16S ribosomal RNA". It matches the Rfam family "Bacterial small subunit ribosomal RNA", at positions 30 to 507 of the family's 1533-position model. The record is from RNAcentral.
AUUGAACGCUGGCGGCAGGCCUAACACAUGCAAGUCGAGCGGAUGAAGGGAGCUUGCUCCUGGAUUCAGCGGCGGACGGGUGAGUAAUGCCUAGGAAUCUGCCUGGUAGUGGGGGAUAACGUCCGGAAACGGGCGCUAAUACCGCAUACGUCCUGAGGGAGAAAGUGGGGGAUCUUCGGACCUCACGCUAUCAGAUGAGCCUAGGUCGGAUUAGCUAGUUGGUGGGGUAUAGGCCUACCAAGGCGACGAUCCGUAACUGGUCUGAGAGGAUGAUCAGUCACACUGGAACUGAGACACGGUCCAGACUCCUACGGGAGGCAGCAGUGGGGAAUAUUGGACAAUGGGCGAAAGCCUGAUCCAGCCAUGCCGCGUGUGUGAAGAAGGUCUUCGGAUUGUAAAGCACUUUAAGUUGGGAGGAAGGGCAGUAAGUUAAUACCUUGCUGUUUUGGCGUUACCAACAGAAUAAGCACCGGCUAACUUCGUG